AAGUCUGGUGCCAGCAGCCGCGGUAAUUCCAGCUCCAAUAGCGUAUAUUAAAGUUGUUGCAGUUAAAAAGCUCGUAGUUGAAUUUCGGGGUUAGUAGGUUGGUCAUGCCUCUGGUAUGUACUGAUCUCACUGAUUCCUCCUUCCUUAUGAACCGUAAUGCCAUUAAUUUGGUGUUGCGGGGAAUUUGGACUGUUACUUUGAAAAAAUUAGAGUGUUUAAAGCAGGCUAACGCUUGAAUACAUUAGCAUGGAAUAAUGAAAUAGGACGUUCGAUCUUAUUUUGUUGGUUUCUAGGAUUGACGUAAUGAUUAAUAGGGAUAGUUGGGGGCAUUAGUAUUCAAUUGUCAGAGGUGAAAUUCUUGGAUUUAUUGAAGACUAACUACUGCGAAAGCAUAUGCCAAGGAUGUUUUCAUUAAUCAAGAACGAAAGUUAGGGGAUCGAAGACGAUCAGAUACCGUCGUAGUCUUAACCAUAAACUAUGCCGACUAGGGAUCGGAUGAUGUUAAUUUUUUAAUGACUCAUUCGGCGCCUUACGGGAAACCAAAGUGUUUGGGU
Molecule: ribosomal RNA, 554 nt
Filed under: Rhizophagus irregularis
Lineage: Eukaryota; Fungi; Glomeromycota; Glomeromycetes; Glomerales; Glomeraceae
Description: SSU rRNA
Rfam family: Eukaryotic small subunit ribosomal RNA
Source: RNAcentral